UCAUUAGUUUUUUAAUUGAAAGCUGGAAUGAAUGGUUUGAUGAGAAAAUUUCUUUUUCAGUAUUAAUUUUUUAGAAUUUUAUUUUUAAGUUAAAAAGCUUAAAUUUUUAUGAAAGACGAGAAGACCCUAUAGAGUUUAAUUAAUUAUUAAUUAUUUUAAAUUAUAAUUUAUUUUAAAAAAUUUAAUUGUUAAUUUAAUUGGGGUGAUUAAAAAAUUUAUUAAACUUUUUUUAAAUUUUAACAUUUAUUUAUGAUUCUUUGAUCCAUUUAUAUGAUUAUAAGAAUAAAUUACCUUAGGGAUAACAGCGUAAUUUUAUUUAAGAGUUCUUAUUUAAAAAAAAGUUUGCGACCUCGAUGUUGGAUUAAAAUUAAUUUUUGGUGUAGAAGCUAAGC
Molecule: ribosomal RNA, 392 nt
Filed under: Scymnus sp. AGBA-2008
Lineage: Eukaryota; Metazoa; Arthropoda; Insecta; Coleoptera; Coccinellidae
Description: partial 16S ribosomal RNA
Source: RNAcentral